UACGGAGGGUGCGAGCGUUUGUCCGGAAUCACUGGGCGUAAAGGGCGCGUAGGCGGCUUGGGAAGUCCGUGGUGAAAGCCCGAGGCUCAACUUCGGGUCGGCCAUGGAUACUCCUAAGCUCGAGUCGACUAGAAGGCUAAUGGAAUUCCGGGUGUAGCGGUGGAAUGCGUAGAGAUCCGGAAGAACACGGUGGCGAAGGCGGUUAGCUGGGGUCGGACUGACGCUGGAGGCGCGGACAGCGUGGGGAGCAAACAGG
This 256-nucleotide ribosomal RNA is filed under the name uncultured bacterium. RNAcentral describes it as "partial 16S ribosomal RNA". It matches the Rfam family "Bacterial small subunit ribosomal RNA", at positions 524 to 776 of the family's 1533-position model. The record is from RNAcentral.